AGCAGCCGCGGUAAUUCCAGCUCCAAUAGCGUAUAUUAAAGUUGUUGCAGUUAAAAAGCUCGUAGUUGAAUUUCGGGAUCAGUAGGUCGGUCAUGCCUCAGGUAUGUACUGGUCUCACUGGUUCCUCCUUCCUGAUGAACCGUAAUGCCAUUAAUUUGGUGUUGCGGGGAAACUGGACUGUUACUUUGAAAAAAUUAGAGUGUUUAAAGCAGGCUAACGCUUGAAUACAUUAGCAUGGAAUAGUGAAAUAGGACGUUCGAUCCUAUUUUGUUGGUUUCUAGGAUUGACGUAAUGAUUAAUAGGGAUAGUUGGGGGCAUUAGUAUUCAAUUGUCAGAGGUGAAAUUCUUGGAUUUAUUGAAGACUAACUACUGCGAAAGCAUUUGCCAAGGAUGUUUUCAUUAAUCAAGAACGAAAGUUAGGGGAUCGAAGACGAUCAGAUACCGUCGUAGUCUUAACCAUAAACUAUGCCGACUAGGGAUCGGAUGAUGUUAUUUUUAAUGACUCAUUCGGCGCCUUACG
RNAcentral lists this ribosomal RNA (520 nucleotides) under uncultured Glomus. RNAcentral's name for it is "SSU rRNA". It matches the Rfam family "Eukaryotic small subunit ribosomal RNA", at positions 569 to 1092 of the family's 1831-position model. The record is from RNAcentral. Lineage: Eukaryota; Fungi; Glomeromycota; Glomeromycetes; Glomerales; Glomeraceae.